AGCGCAGGCGGGAAGACAAGUUGGAAGUGAAAACCAUGGGCUCAACCCAUGAAUUGCUUUCAAAACUGUUUUUCUUUGAGUAGUACAGAGGUAGAUGGAAUUCCCGGUGUAGCGGUGGAAUGCGUAGAUAUCGGGAGGAACACCAGUGGCGAAGGCGGUCUACUGGGCACCAACUGACGCUGAGGCUCGAAAGCAUGGGUAGCAAACA
RNAcentral lists this ribosomal RNA (208 nucleotides) under uncultured bacterium. RNAcentral's name for it is "partial 16S ribosomal RNA". It matches the Rfam family "Bacterial small subunit ribosomal RNA", at positions 568 to 774 of the family's 1533-position model. The record is from RNAcentral.